GGGCGGUUGGCGCAGCGGGAGCGCGCCUCGUUGACAACGAGGAGGUCAGUGGUUCAAAUCCACUACCGCCCACCA
This 75-nucleotide transfer RNA is filed under the name Thermoanaerobaculum aquaticum. RNAcentral describes it as "tRNA-Val". It matches the Rfam family "tRNA". From Rfam's summary of the family: Transfer RNA (tRNA) molecules are approximately 80 nucleotides in length. Their secondary structure includes four short double-helical elements and three loops (D, anti-codon, and T loops). RNAcentral also lists the same sequence under 5 other names. Lineage: Bacteria; Pseudomonadati; Acidobacteriota; Thermoanaerobaculia; Thermoanaerobaculales; Thermoanaerobaculaceae. The record is from RNAcentral.